This 775-nucleotide ribosomal RNA is filed under the name uncultured Neocallimastigales. Its description in RNAcentral is "partial large subunit ribosomal RNA". It matches the Rfam family "Eukaryotic large subunit ribosomal RNA", at positions 24 to 649 of the family's 3401-position model. Lineage: Eukaryota; Fungi; Neocallimastigomycota; Neocallimastigomycetes; Neocallimastigales. The record is from RNAcentral.
UACGACUACAUAUCAGGCAUAUCAAUAAGCGGAGGAAAAGAAACUAACAAGGAUUCCCCUAGUAACGGCGAGUGAAGCGGGAAGAGCUCAAAUUUGAAAUCUUAAAGGGUUUCCCUUUACGAAUUGUAGUUUAAAGAAGUGUUUUCUGUUGGAGUUUCGGUAAAAGUUCUUUGGAAUAGGACAUCAUAGAGGGUGAGAAUCCCGUAUUUGACCGUUACUUUCCAGCUGUGUGAUACACUUUCAAAGAGUCGGAUUGUUUGGGAAUGCAGUCCAAGAUGGGUGGUAAAUUUCAUCUAAAGCUAAAUAUUGGCGAGAGACCGAUAGCGAACAAGUACCGUGAGGGAAAGAUGAAAAGAACUUUGAAAAGAGAGUUAAACAGUACGUGAAAUUGUCAAAAGGGAAGCGUUUGACACCAGUGUUGCUUAGUUGAAAAUCAAUUCAAUAGUUUUUGAUUCUAAGUAGUAUUGACUUCAUCAGCUUGCUGCUUUCUUCUCAGAAAUUAUUGAAUGCACUUUUCAGUUAACAAGUCAACAUCAAUUUCUUUUGUUGUAAAAGGGUAAGAGGAAGGUGGCUUGCGCUUCGGCUCAAGUGUUUAUAGCCUUUUAUCUCUGCAAUCGGAGAGAUUGAGGUCUGCAGCGUAGAUCCUUCGGGGUUAGAUACAUUGGUGCUAAGCUAUAGCCUUGUAUGGACAACUUGUUGACUAUGCUCAGUCAUGUAGCUUACUCGCUGAUGCUAUUUUACCUACGCUUAGGAUGUUGAGUAGCGACAUACGCAC